UCGGGAAUUUUGGGCAAUGGGGGCAACCCUGACCCAGCAACGCCGCGUGAGGGAUGAAGGCCUUCGGGUCGUAAACCUCUGUCGGGAGGGAAGAAAGGUAACUGGUCGAAUAGGCCAGGGGCUUGACGGUACCUCCAAAGGAAGCGCCGGCUAACUCCGUGCCAGCAGCCGCGGUAAUACGGAGGGCGCAAGCGUUGUUCGGAAUCAUUGGGCGUAAAGCGCGUGUAGGCGGCUUGGCAAGUCGGGUGUGAAAGCCCGGGGCCCAACCCCGGAACUGCACUCGAAACUGCGUCGCUAGAGUCCCGGAGAGGAAGGCGGAAUUCCAGGUGUAGAGGUGAAAUUCGUAGAUAUCUGGAGGAACACCAGCGGCGAAGGCGGCCUUCUGGACGGUGACUGACGCUGAGACGCGAAAGCGUGGGGAGCAAACAGGAUUAGAUACCCCUGUAGUCC
Molecule: ribosomal RNA, 450 nt
Filed under: uncultured prokaryote
Description: bacterial SSU rRNA
Rfam family: Bacterial small subunit ribosomal RNA
Source: RNAcentral